CGCCCCUUCCUCAGCCCUUCCUUGUGGACUAGUCGCGCCGCCGCCGAGGCCCGCCCCACUGGCCGUGGAGCCUGAAGGGGCGGAGAAGAGCGCCUAUGCGCAAGCGCAGUCGAGUGCGCUCGCGUUUUAGUCCUAGACUGGAGUGCAGCAAAGAGAUGUUCAUCAUCGUGAUAUGGCAUAAAUGACACAAGCUGGCAGUCAGCUGGAAGAUAAAGCAAACUGAUGAGGUGUCACCCCUUCCUAGGGAGAUGAAUGGGAUCACUCCAGUGUCAGAUCUGAUAGCCAUCUCUUUGGCUGACCACCUGAAGAAGUGGGUGGUUUGGAUUUAGAGGCCAUGUUACAUGAAAAAAAUGUGCAUCUUUGAACUUUAGAAUCACACUCACUAUGGCCAAAUG
Long non-coding RNA from Zalophus californianus (California sea lion), 395 nucleotides. RefSeq lists it as uncharacterized. The transcript has 3 exons. NCBI's taxonomy places the organism in Eukaryota, Metazoa, Chordata, Mammalia, Carnivora, Otariidae. The record is from RefSeq and is a predicted model, not a curated record.